CGUUCCCAUUCCGAACACGACGGUUAAGCCUUUAGAAGCCGAUGGUACUGCACGGGAGACUGUGUGGGAGAGUAGGUGGUCGCCAGGU
Molecule: ribosomal RNA, 88 nt
Filed under: Clostridium perfringens
Lineage: Bacteria; Bacillati; Bacillota; Clostridia; Eubacteriales; Clostridiaceae
Source: RNAcentral